UACAGAGACCUCAAGCGUUAUCCGGAAUCAUUGGGCGUAAAGCGUACCGAUAGGUGGUUGAAAUAGUCUUGGGUAAAAGCCAGAAGCUCAACUUCUGAGUUUGCUUAAGAUACUUUUCGACUAGAGGGGCAAAGAGGUGCUUGGAACGAAUGGUGUAGUAGUGAAAUGCGUUGAUAUCAUUCGGAACACCGAAAGCGAAGGCAGAGCACUGGGUGCCUCCUGACACUGCUAGGACGAAAGCGUGGGUAGCGAAUGGG
RNAcentral lists this ribosomal RNA (257 nucleotides) under uncultured bacterium. RNAcentral describes it as "partial 16S ribosomal RNA". It matches the Rfam family "Bacterial small subunit ribosomal RNA", at positions 524 to 776 of the family's 1533-position model. The record is from RNAcentral.